Heterocephalus glaber (naked mole-rat) is the source of this 1778-nucleotide long non-coding RNA. The record is from Ensembl. NCBI's taxonomy places the organism in Eukaryota, Metazoa, Chordata, Mammalia, Rodentia, Bathyergidae.
AUUUGGUCAGAUUGUUAGUUCCAUUAAUUUUUGUGUUGUGUCAUCUUUGAGGUCACUAUGUUUCUUUGCUUUCUCUUUGAUAACUUUAUAUAACUCAGCUAGUUGAUGUUUGAUUUCUUCUCCAUUGGUGCUCCUUGAAUCUGCUUUGGGAGAGUUUGGAGUCAUUUUGUUGCCUUAUUUUUUCAUGUACCUUUUUUGCGUGUGCGUGGUGAGAGUGGAGGAUAAAUAGAGUAAAGGGAAUUUGUUGUUGGUAUAAAAAUCUCUAAGUUUUUGUUGUCCAGUGAUGUGUUUUUGGCUUUAUUUUUCAAGAGGUAUUGUUUAUCACUUCAAACUAUUUAGCUUAAUUGUGGUGGACCCUGUUAUUCCUUGAGUAUAUGCAGUAGUCUCUGCUGGGUCUCUGUCUUGGGGGACAAGCUAGGAAAAUGCAAGUCAGCAGCACAGCUGGAGCCAGCCAGGUUGUUUUCCGCAGCCCAGACCCAUCAGUCUGAAGCUGCUGCUUGGGGCUCUGCUGCUCAGGUUCUGGCUCCUUCACUAUUUGGGUCCUUAGCUCCUCUGCUCCUCUGAUCUGCUGUAGCCUGAUAGAGUGAGAUCGAGUUUGAGAGAAUCCUGUGGGCCUGUAAAUUUACUUGUUUAUUCAUUCUCUCAUUUGACAGCUAGACAAUGCUAGCACAUCUGUUAGAACAAAAUUCUUGAAGUUGGGUACUUUACAUACAAAAGAUGCUUAUUUGAUUCAGGCUUAGCUGGAAAGUCCAGACAGCAGGGUCCUGGCAUCUGUGUUACAUCGUGACUUGCUGUGUGCAGUAGGGGUGCAAGUGUGAGCAAAGAAGCAAGAGAGUGGGAGGACGAGGCUUACUCUUUAUAAGAAUUUGCUCUUGAGAGAACUAAUCUACUCUAGGAGACUUGUCCCACUUCUUUGAAACACCACCAGUCAACUCAUGAGGAUGGAUUUAAUGACCAUCUACUAGGCUUCACCUCUUAAAUGGUUUGGUGGACCCUCAGCACUGCCACACUGGGGACCUAGCUUCCAGCACAUGAAUCUUUGGGAGACAAACCACAUUCAAACCACUGUACCCUACGAUCUGUUAAAAAAUUACCCUUACAUGGUGAAUUAUUAAAGCAUUGUUCUUUUUAGGCCUUGUCAACCACCAUAAUGUUUUUAUAAGCACCCGGAAAGCAGCAUUCACUGUAUUUUUGGUUAUAUUUCAUAAGAAUACAAAAAAGGACUUCCAGAACUGCUUCAGAAAGUGUUAAGAAUGAUCUCAUAUAUUUAUAAAAUAUGAAGAAAACAGAAAUGGACAUUUUCAUCCUAUAGAUUAAGAAAAGUUGCACAAAACAGAUAAGUAUAUGAACACAAUGAGAGUUCCUGUUCUGUCAUGACUACUCUGUUUAAGCUGUGAGUACUGUCUCACUCAUAAGAGGUUCUCAAUAAAUGUUUCUUUUUGAUCAUGAUAUUUAAUGAUGAUGAGAACCCAAAUGAAAAGACUUUUAGCCUUGAGUUAUUUAGUGGUUAUUUUUCCAAUGACUUUUGUUUUUAUUAUCAUUAAAAAGAACAUGCUAGUUGCCAGAAUACAGAAGCCAUUCCCAAAUUCUUCACAAUAUUAAUUUUUUUUUUUGGUACCGGGGAUUGAACUCAGGUCCUUGCGCUUGUGCAGCAGGCGGCAAAACCACUGAGCUAAAUCCCCGGCCCCAUAAUAUUAAUUUUAUUGAGCUAAAACACAGAAAACUUAUAGGCAUUUAUAUAGACUUUCAAUGUAUGUAUGAUUUUGCACGUCUUAGGC